UGAACGCUAGCGACAGGCCUAACACAUGCAAGUCAGGGGCAGCACAAGGAGCAAUCUGAGGUGGCGACCGGCGCACGGGUGAGUAACACGUAUGCAACCUGCCUGUAAGCGGGGAAUAACCCGUUGAAAGACGGACUAAUACCGCAUAAUACUAAAUUACUGCAUGGUAAUUUAUUUAAACAUUUAUGGCUUACAGAUGGGCAUGCGCAUGAUUAGCUAGUUGGAGAGGUAACGGCUCCCCAAGGCAACGAUCAUUAGGGGUUCUGAGAGGAAGGUCCCCCACACUGGUACUGAGACACGGACCAGACUCCUACGGGAGGCAGCAGUGAGGAAUAUUGGUCAAUGGACGAGAGUCUGAACCAGCCAAGUCGCGUGCAGGAAGAAUGUCCUAUGGAUUGUAAACUGCUUUUGCAGGGGAAUAAAGUGCAUCACGUGUGAUGUUUUGUAUGUACUCUGCGAAUAAGGAUCGGCUAACUCCGUGCCAGCAGCUGC
Molecule: ribosomal RNA, 492 nt
Filed under: uncultured bacterium
Lineage: Bacteria
Description: bacterial SSU rRNA
Rfam family: Bacterial small subunit ribosomal RNA
Source: RNAcentral